Lotus japonicus is the source of this 3392-nucleotide RNA transcript. It is a transcript of the gene named casein kinase 1-like protein HD16, with no coding region annotated. NCBI's taxonomy places the organism in Eukaryota, Viridiplantae, Streptophyta, Magnoliopsida, Fabales, Fabaceae. The record is from RefSeq and is a predicted model, not a curated record. The transcript is spliced from 18 exons.
GCUUGUUCUUCUUCUCUAUCAACCCUUGGUCUCUCUGUACUAGAAAAUCUAGAACUACCAACAAUCCCUUUAUUCUCGUGUUUCCCUCCACAGAUCUCUGAAAUCUCCUCUCAUCUCUUCCAAACCCUAACCUUCUCUUCAUCGUUCUCGAUACGCCAUUGUUCAUCUUCUCUUACAUUCAUUCACUUCUUCACUGAUCGAUGAUUCUAGAACCUUCCCGAACCUCCCUCUUCUUCAUGGCUCAACGCCACCCUUACCAUGCCUGAACUGCGUACCCGACCACGCAGAAACCGCCCGCACAUAGAUAACGCUAAUCCCAACCCGAUCACCCAUCCGGUGGCCGCCGUAGUGAAGAAUCGGAGACAGAAGAAGGUUUGCGCUGCCGGUGAUAUUGUGAACAACGACGAAGCCGGUGCUGUUCGUGAAGGCAGAGCCGAAGAAGAGGUAGGAGAGAAGGUUUUGGGAGAGGGAGCUAUGGAUGACAACGAUAGUGGUGGCUUCAGCGCUGAUAAGGCUCCGGGAGCUGAAGAUGAGGGCAGCACUGCUCCGCUUCCUGAGAAGGUCCAGGUUGGUGGUUCUCCGGUAUACAGAGUCCACAGAAAACUUGGGAAAGGAGGAUUUGGACAAGUUUAUGUUGGUCGCCGCAUAGGAGCUGGUUCCGGUGCUAUUGAGGUAGCCUUAAAAUUUGAGCAUAGAAGCAGCAAGGGGUGCAACUAUGCACCUCCUUACGAGUGGCAAGUGUACAAUACUUUAGGUGGUAGUCAUGGUGUUCCACGAGUUCAUUACAAGGGACGGCAAGGUGACUACUAUAUUAUGGUCAUGGAUAUGCUUGGCCCUAGUCUAUGGGAUGUGUGGAAUAAUAACUCACAAACGAUGUCAACUGAAAUGGUGGCGUGUAUUGCAAUUGAGGCUAUCUCCAUAUUAGAGAAGAUGCAUUCUAGAGGAUACGUGCAUGGUGAUGUGAAACCCGAAAACUUUUUGCUUGGGACCCCUGGAACUCCUGAUGAGAAGAAGUUGUUUUUGGUUGAUCUUGGAUUAGCAUCUCGGUGGCGUGACAAUUCAACUGGCCUUCAUGUUGACUAUGAUCAACGUCCGGAUGUAUUUAGGGGCACAGUUCGAUAUGCUAGUGUGCAUGCUCAUCUUGGUAGAACAGGUAGCAGGAGAGAUGACUUAGAAUCUCUUGCAUACACACUUGUCUUCCUUCUUCGUGGUCGGCUUCCUUGGCAAGGAUAUCAGGGAGAAAAUAAAGGAUUUCUUGUCUGCAAGAAAAAGAUGGCAACUUCUCCAGAAACUAUGUGUUGCUUUUGUCCUGAACCUUUCCGACAGUUUGUUGAAUAUGUAGUGAAUUUGAAGUUUGAUGAAGAGCCAAAUUAUGCUAAAUAUAUAUCCCUUUUUGAUGGGAUUGUGGGUCCAAAUCCUAACAUUAGGCCAAUAAAUACUGAGGGUGCUCAGAAGCUUAUAUGUCAGGUUGGACACAAGAGAGGGCGAUUGACCAUGGAAGAGGAUGAUGAUGAACAACCAAAGAAGAAGGUCCGAAUGGGAAUACCAGCAACACAAUGGAUUAGUGUUUACAAUGCUCGUCGACCAAUGAAGCAAAGGUAUCAUUACAAUGUGGCUGAUGCACGACUGGCACAACACAUUGAGAAAGGGAAUGAAGAUAGUUUAUUUAUCAGCAGUGUGGCUUCUUGUUCCAAUCUUUGGGCUCUCAUUAUGGAUGCUGGCACUGGUUUCACUGCACAAGUUUAUGAACUCUCUCCCCACUUUCUUCACAAGGAAUGGAUUAUGGAACAGUGGGAGAAGAACUAUUACAUUAGUGCCAUAGCUGGAGCUAAUAACGGAUGCUCAUUGGUUGUUAUGUCUAAAGGGACCCAGUACUCACAGCAAUCUUAUAAAGUCAGUGAUUCAUUUCCAUUUAAGUGGAUCAACAAAAAAUGGAGAGAAGGAUUUUAUGUAACUGCUAUGGCCACUGCUGGCACUAGAUGGGCAAUUGUUAUGUCCCGUGGUGCUGGGUUCUCAGACCAGGUUGUAGAACUUGAUUUUCUGUAUCCCAGUGAAGGUAUUCAUCGGAGGUGGGAUAACGGUUACCGCAUUACUUCAACUGCUGCCACAUGUGACCAAGCUGCUUUUGUUCUUAGUGUCCCAAGAAGAAAACCAACUGAUGAAACUCAAGAGACACUCCGGACAUCUGCUUUUCCUAGUACUCAUGUCAAGGACAAAUGGGCAAAGAAUCUCUAUAUUGCUUCUAUUUGUUAUGGGAGAACAGUUUCAUAAACUGUGGAUGAUUUUUGAGACUCCAGCUGACAUCAUUUUGACCUCGUGCUUGAUCCCGUUUGCCCAUACAUCUUUCAGUUGGGAAUUGAAGAUCCUGGUCUGACAAUUUUUCUGAACGCAGUUCAGUAAUCAGCGUUGAUUAUCCGAAGUCCGAAUGAUGGGCUUCUUCUGGUCACUCACUCUACAUGACUGGUUGCUAUAUUGUUUGAUUCUUUUUCUAAUGUCAAACACUGCAAGACGCACUUUUGAUUAUUUUGAGAAGUUGGUAUUGCGGAAGCUCAUCAGGGGUGAUAACUUGUAUUACUCUUCACAGGGCUUCUGUAUUACCCGUGAGUUCAAUUGAACAUAAGGUAUUUAAUUCUGAAGCUAUUAUUCAACUUAAUUGUUCAGCUGAGACUUUCACAUGGUUUGAUCUAGAUAUGCAGCACUAUGUGGAUGAGACAUUUGAUGUUCAGUUGGCCUGAUGGCACCGAGCUUUUAGUGCUCUCAAAUAAAAUCUGGCUCUUUGGAUGCUUCAUUUCUACUGCUUUGGUGGUAACUUAUAGAUUUCUUUGGAUGGUCAAGACCAUGAUAAUGAUGCUGCAACAAUCUGAAUGUCAAAACUAACUGGGAAGCUGUUCAAGGAAAAUGGUUUCCUUAGAACUAUUAACUGAUUGAUGCUGAAGCCCAGAGGUGGCCUUAACUUGUUAUCUUCUCAUCUUGUCCGAAUAGAGAAAGUGCUGUGCCUCCUAAAAGUUUCAUGUUCAAGAACUGCAUACAAGGAUUUUCUCUAUCUUCUUAGCUCUAUUGGGCAUCUGUUGUAGGAUUUUUAAACCAUUGUUGCUGUUAGCCUGUUACAACAACUUAAAUAAGGGAUGAUUAAAGCUAUCUACAGUUAUGAUUCUAAUACCGUAACAUAGUCUUUGUUUCCGAGAAACAGAAGGGAGGGGAAGGGUAAGAAGAGUGGAUCAAGAUUAUCCCAUGUUCUCGCAUGUUGUAAUUUUGUUAGUAUCUCUCUUCACAUGCAUUAAAUAUGUAGAAACAAAUCGAGUCCUUUGAAUAUUUAUGAAAAGAGAGAUAGAUUCAAACAUUGUCACUCCAAUUUACACCGAUUAUGAGAGAAAAAGUCAAAGGAAUUUAUA